RNAcentral lists this ribosomal RNA (468 nucleotides) under uncultured bacterium. RNAcentral describes it as "partial 16S ribosomal RNA". It matches the Rfam family "Bacterial small subunit ribosomal RNA", at positions 28 to 507 of the family's 1533-position model. The record is from RNAcentral.
GACGAACGCUGGCGGCGUGCUUAACACAUGCAAGUCGAACGGAAAGGCCCUGCUUGCAGGGUGCUCGAGUGGCGAACGGGUGAGUAACACGUGGGUGAUCUGCCCCUUACUUUGGGAUAAGCCUGGGAAACUGGGUCUAAUACUGGAUAGGACCAUGCUGUAGGUGGUGUGGUGGAAAGAUUAGUUUCGGUAAGGGAUGAGCUCGCGGCCUAUCAGCUUGUUGGUGGGGUAAUGGCCUACCAAGGCGUCGACGGGUAGCCGGCCGGAGAGGGUGGACGGCCACAUUGGGACUGAGAUACGGCCCAGACUCCUACGGGAGGCAGCAGUGGGGAAUAUUGCACAAUGGGCGCAAGCCUGAUGCAGCGACGCCGCGUGGGGGAUGACGGCCUUCGGGUUGUAAACUCCUUUCAGCCAUGACGAAGCCUUCGGGUGACGGUAGUGGUAGAAGAAGCACCGGCUAACUACGUG